This is a non-coding RNA of Ciona intestinalis (vase tunicate), 291 nucleotides long. Lineage: Eukaryota; Metazoa; Chordata; Ascidiacea; Phlebobranchia; Cionidae. The record is from RefSeq and is a predicted model, not a curated record.
GAUUUUGGUUUAGGGAGUUUUUGAUCACGUGUGUAAAAAAUGGCGAGCGGUAAAUUGUUGAAAUUGCCACAAAAUGUUUACAAACCUCAGCUUAAUAAUGUAAUGCAAGAUGAGAAAGUGAAGAAAAAUAUCGAAAACGUUUUUCAACGAAAGAAUAAAAAUAUAGAUUCCGGAACCCAGGACAUAAUUGAUUGUUCUUCUUUCCCGUUCCCUUAUUGUGUCAUAAAGGACUUUCUUUGUUUGCCAACAAACAAUGGUAGAUGUAUAGAAUAGAACUUCCCUAACCCUCUA